RNAcentral lists this ribosomal RNA (420 nucleotides) under uncultured bacterium. Its description in RNAcentral is "bacterial SSU rRNA". It matches the Rfam family "Bacterial small subunit ribosomal RNA", at positions 355 to 774 of the family's 1533-position model. The record is from RNAcentral.
UAGGGAAUUUUCGGCAAUGGGCGAAAGCCUGACCGAGCAACGCCGCGUGAGUGAAGAAGGCCUUCGGGUCGUAAAGCUCUGUUGUAAAGGAAGAACGGCAGGGGUGUCCCCCUGAGUGACGGUACUUUACCAGAAAGCCACGGCUAACUACGUGCCAGCAGCCGCGGUAAUACGUAGGUGGCAAGCGUUGUCCGGAAUUAUUGGGCGUAAAGGGAGCGCAGGUGGAUCGUAAAGUCUUGUUUAAAAGAGCGGGGCUCAACCCCGUUAGGGACAAGAAACUUAAGAUCUUGAGUGCAGGAGAGGGAAGCGGAAUUCCUAGUGUAGCGGUGAAAUGCGUAGAUAUUAGGAGGAACACCAGUGGCGAAGGCGGCUUCCUGGACUGUAACUGACACUGAGGCUCGAAAGCUAGGGUAGCGAACG